Molecule: ribosomal RNA, 433 nt
Filed under: uncultured bacterium
Lineage: Bacteria
Description: partial 16S ribosomal RNA
Rfam family: Bacterial small subunit ribosomal RNA
Source: RNAcentral
AACGAACGCUGGCGGCAUGCCUAACACAUGCAAGUCGAACGAGACCUUCGGGUCUAGUGGCGCACGGGUGCGUAACGCGUGGGAACCUGCCCUUAGGUUCGGAAUAACUCCCCGAAAGGGGUGCUAAUACCGGAUAAUGUCUUCGGACCAAAGAUUUAUCGCCUUUGGAUGGGCCCGCGUUGGAUUAGCUAGUUGGUAGGGUAAAAGCCUACCAAGGCGACGAUCCAUAGCUGGUCUGAGAGGAUGAUCAGCCACACUGGGACUGAGACACGGCCCAGACUCCUACGGGAGGCAGCAGUGCGGAAUAUUGGACAAUGGGCGAAAGCCUGAUCCAGCAAGGCCGCGUGAGUGAUGAAGGCCUUAGGGUUGUAAAGCUCUUGUACCCGGGAUGAUAAUGACAGUACCGGGAGAAUAAGCUCCGGCUAACUCCGUG